CUACGUGCCAGCAGCCGCGGUAAUACGGAGGAUGCGAGCGUUAUCCGGAUUUAUUGGGUUUAAAGGGUGCGUAGGCGGCCUGUUAAGUCAGCGGUGAAAUCUAGGAGCUUAACUCCUAAAUUGCCAUUGAUACUGGCGGGCUUGAGUGUAGAUGAGGUAGGCGGAAUGCGUGGUGUAGCGGUGGAAUGCAUAGAUAUCACGCAGAACUCCGAUUGCGAAGGCAGCUUACUAAGGUACAACUGACGCUGAAGCACGAAAGCGUGUGUAUCAAACAGGAUUAGAUACCCUGGUAGUCCGCACAGUAAACGAUGGAUGCCCGCUGUUGGUACCUGGUAUCAGCGGCUAAGCGAAAGCAUUAAGCAUCCCGCCUGGGGAGUACGCCGGCAACGGUGAAACUCAAAGGAAUUGACGGGGGCCCGCACAAGCGGAGGAACAUGUGGUUUAAUUCGAUGAUACGCGAGGAACCUUACCCGGGCUUGAA
RNAcentral lists this ribosomal RNA (481 nucleotides) under uncultured bacterium. RNAcentral's name for it is "bacterial SSU rRNA". It matches the Rfam family "Bacterial small subunit ribosomal RNA", at positions 501 to 985 of the family's 1533-position model. The record is from RNAcentral.